This 465-nucleotide ribosomal RNA is filed under the name uncultured Klebsiella sp. RNAcentral describes it as "bacterial SSU rRNA". It matches the Rfam family "Bacterial small subunit ribosomal RNA", at positions 338 to 795 of the family's 1533-position model. The record is from RNAcentral. Lineage: Bacteria; Pseudomonadati; Pseudomonadota; Gammaproteobacteria; Enterobacterales; Enterobacteriaceae.
CCUACGGGGGGCAGCAGUGGGGAAUAUUGCACAAUGGGCGCAAGCCUGAUGCAGCCAUGCCGCGUGUGUGAAGAAGGCCUUCGGGUUGUAAAGCACUUUCAGCGGGGAGGAAGGCGGUGAGGUUAAUAACCUCAUCGAUUGACGUUACCCGCAGAAGAAGCACCGGCUAACUCCGUGCCAGCAGCCGCGGUAAUACGGAGGGUGCAAGCGUUAAUCGGAAUUACGGGGCGUAAAGCGCACGCAGGCGGUCUGUCAAGUCGGAUGUGAAAGCCCCGGGCUCAACCUGGGAACUGCAUUCGAAACUGGCAGGCUAGAGUCUUGUAGAGGGGGGUAGAAUUCCAGGUGUAGCGGUGAAAUGCGUAGAGAUCUGGAGGAAUACCGGUGGCGAAGGCGGCCCCCUGGACAAAGACUGACGCUCAGGUGCGAAAGCGUGGGGAGCAAACAGGAUUAGAUACCCGAGUAGUC